AUUUCCUCCAUUUCAUCACAAUAUCUAACAUCAAUAUUCUCUAAGUUUGGGAGGCCUUGCAACUGCUCAACUGGAAACAACUUCUUCACCCUCGAACAAAAACUGAUAUCUAAUUUUUUAAGAGAAGAGAAGAUGGCAGGUGGUGUUGGAGAAUGAGAGGUAGAUUCAAUUUCAACUGCUACUCCUACUCUCACAACUUCACGCAAGUUUUUCAACAAAAAUAGGCGUAACUCCUCAAUGUUGUCAAGUGCGUCACAAGACGAUAAUGACAAGUCAACCACACACUCCAUCCCUUUACACUGCCAAAUUCGACAUUCCUUCCAGUCAGUCGCCUUACGAAACAAAGGAAUGUUGUUUAAACAUUUGAAAUCAUCAUACUUGUCAAUAGUUAAAGUUUGAAGGUCAUGUGGGACCACCCUAGGGACCAGUCUGAUGAGUUCUAUCUUUCAGGGAAUUCAGGCUUAAACAUCAACUUUCAGGGAAUUAAGGCUUGAAUCCUUCAAAAAGUGGGAGCUGAGUACCAUCACAAUUCCCUUUUGAACCACAAAGUCCAUAUCUGUCAAAAUAGUCUCUUGGAGCAAAUGAGAAAAGCAUCCAAGCUUGCUUUCUGCAUUUCAUGUGUAGUCCUGUGAUCAAUGAUUUCUAUUUGAGACACUUAUGAUGGUUGACAUAAAAAAUAGAAAUACCAAGUGGGUAGAUCAUGCGCUGUUUUCAUAGGAUAAUGUGAUUGAUUGACUUUUGAUGAAUGAAGUAUACACAAAGUGCAGCAGAAAACAAAUUAUAAACAUUCUCUUCAUUGGACAAACAUAACUUCAAUGACUUACUUGUAUUAAAUGAUUUCCAAUUCAUCAACCAUUUGAGACUAGUGUGGAUGUGCAGGAUAGUCCUAAGAAUUCAUCACCAAGUUCAACAGGGGUGCCUUCCUUCCUCCCAUAAUCUCCAAGCCUGCAGCAAAUUGAAAACCUUUUAGUCAUUUUGCUAUAUCUUUCAACAUUUUAAUUCAUAAUAAUCAAAGUAUUUUUGAAACAUGCGAGUGAAAAUGAAAAUAAAGGAAACGGGUGGGAAGGUGUAAUAGGAGGGGAUGUAGGAAAUGUGAGAUAGCAAUUGGCGGAGAAAUGCAGAUUGAAGGGUGUUGAGUUGGAGAAUUUAUUUUUAUAUUAAAAAUAAAAAGUUAAAGACUUAGUUUUAUUUUGAUAUUAAAAAAGAGAAAUUAUUUAACAAAUGAGAAAUUAAGAGAUAAAAAGAGGACGUGGAUGAAAAUAAACUCACAGUGUUUGCAGUUCUUAAUAAGAAGCAGGAGCCUUACAGCCACAUUUAAUCAAACACCUCUUCUCCAUCUCAUUCUACCACUGAGAAUAUCGAAGAAAGGGAGAAAGGACAUCCUUAGCAUCAGGCUGAUCCCAUUCCACUGAUUCCCACCAUUCUCUCGACCAUACUGUGAUUUCUUUUAGAGAAGGAGGAAGAGAUGGUUUCCCAUUUUCAACAAGGGGAAGAGACAAAGGGAUCCUCUUUACUUCUGGACAUUUGAUUAUAUAAAGAUAUUGGAGAGAAUCUGUAGGAAUCAUAAGUCCACCACUGCAAAUGCUUUUCAAUUUUGGUAACGUAGCCAACUUUAAUGAUUUUAAUUUGGGAAGAAUAAAUGUUGUUCCUUCUCCUUUGUGAUUUUCUUCUAAUGCUAUUAUUUCCUCCAUUUCAUCACAAUAUCUAACAUCAAUAUUCUCUAAGUUUGGGAGGCCUUGCAACUGCUCAACUGGAAACAACUUCUUCACCCUCGAACAAAAACUCAUACGGAAUCGUUUAAGAGAAGAGAAGAUGGCAGGUGGUGUUGGAGCAUGAGAGGUAGAUUCAAUUUCAACCGCUACUCCUACUCUCACAACUUCACGCAAGUUUUCCAUCAAAAAUAGGCCUAACUCCUCAAUGUUGUCAAGUGCGUCACAAGACGAUGAUGACAACUCAACCACACACUCCAUCCCUUCACACUCCCCAAUUCGACAUUCCUUAAAGUCAGUCGCCUUACGAAACAAAGGAAUGUUGUUUAAACAUUUGAAAUCAUCAUCCUUGUUAAUAGUUAAAGUUUGAAGGUCAUGUGGGACCACCCUAUCAUCACACCUCUCUAUCUCC
Molecule: long non-coding RNA, 2121 nt
Filed under: Theobroma cacao (cacao)
Lineage: Eukaryota; Viridiplantae; Streptophyta; Magnoliopsida; Malvales; Malvaceae
Description: long non-coding RNA (TCAC_LNC004219)
Source: RNAcentral